Molecule: long non-coding RNA, 377 nt
Filed under: Monodelphis domestica (gray short-tailed opossum)
Lineage: Eukaryota; Metazoa; Chordata; Mammalia; Didelphimorphia; Didelphidae
Description: lncRNA (ENSMODG00000045513.1)
Source: RNAcentral
UCAGACCAUUGCUAUUACCUUGAUCACAGCCUUCCCUGAGGAAGCUCCCUGGAAAAAGCAUAGAACUCUAAACCCAAGUCUUGGGAAUAGUAGUGCCUCAUGACCACUAACCCAACCUCCACAACCUUCAUCCCAAGAAGUAAUUCCUGUGAAGAAUGGAUAUGGCCAGCUUUGAAUGCCUGAAGAGAUUAGCCUUCCUUAGAGUUUCCUCAGAUGGUUAUAACAAGCAACUUGGGUACCCAGUGCAAGCAACACCAACCAGGGCCAGUAGCAUGAAUUGUAUUCUCAAAACCAAAAUAACACCAUAACAUGAAGAAUUCACUUUAAGCCACCCCGCUGUCAAUAAACACAACCAAGCAUGUGUGCUUAGAUAACUG